Molecule: long non-coding RNA, 1306 nt
Filed under: Capra hircus (goat)
Lineage: Eukaryota; Metazoa; Chordata; Mammalia; Artiodactyla; Bovidae
Description: lncRNA (ENSCHIG00010001420.1)
Source: RNAcentral
AUGUCCUGCAGUUUCAUCCAGGUUGUUGCAAAUGAUAGGAUUUCCUUGUGUGUGUGUGUUUUUUUAAAUGGCUUAAUAUUAUUCCAUUGUAUUUACAUCUUUUUAUACACAAUUUUACUUGCAGGCAGAGUGUUGAACACAUCCCUCAUGAAAGUGUGGAGCAGGGGGUAGCCUGCCACUGGGUGGGAGAGUGUGUGUGAGUGAGGUGCACAGAGUGUUGAGGUUAUUGAAGGUGAGGCCUCCUUAGCAGUUCAGGUGUGGACUUGAUGCUGUCCUCAAAAUGGUUAGUUGGAUCCAUGUUACUUUGACACGUCUCUGGCUCUGGCAGCCUCUCCCUGCCCCUCAGUUGUACAUUCAUCUCAGUACCCCUAGAUGGAGCAGGAAAGAAGUGGGUCCUUUUCGCAGUAUACUAUCCAGCUGGGGAAGCUGAGUACUCACUCGCGUGCACUCAAACAUUCCGUGGUGGGAGAAAUUGCUGGCGAGAGAUCCUAAGCUAUACCACCUUGGGGGAGGGGGUAAUGUGGUCCUUUUACUUCUACAUCUAAUCCCUGUUUUAUUUUGCCCCCGUAGCGUACUGGAGCUUCUCUGCUGGACUCUGGAGUUUUACAAAAGCCUUCUUCUCGGUAGGUGAUUGUCCUAGUCAGUUGGUCUUUGGAGAAAUGGCAGUAGAAAACUCUUCUGCCAUCUUGCUGAUGUCAUUUCAAUUAACCUUUAAAAAGAUUAAAAUUGAGAGAAAAAUGUCCUUAACAUUUAGCCAUGUGUUUUACAUUGUAGGCCUCUAUGGCUUUUUGUAGUUACAAAUUUCCAUUUGAUGUUUUUCUUCUCCUGGAAGAACUUUAAUAUUUCUCAUGAGAUAAGUCAGAGAAAGACAAAUACUGUGUGAUAUCACUUAUAAGAAGAAUCGGAGUAAACCAAAUUCAUAGAAACAGAGUAAAAUCUUGGUUACCAGAGGAUCAUAGGUGGAUGGAUAGGAAAGAUGUUUAAGAGGACACACUUGCUACCAAGUAGUUAAAUAAGUCGUAGAGAAUUAAUGCUUAGUACUGAGACUAUAGAUAAUAUUGUUAAAAUCAUCAAACUUGCUAAGAAACAAGCUCAAUUAUUCCAACCACUAAAAAGAAAAUAGUUAUAUAAUGUGAUAAAGGUGAUUAUUGCUACAAAGGCAACUGUAUUACAAUAUGAAUUGCACACCUUAAAUUUACACGAUGUUAUAUGUCAAAUAUAUUUUUGCUGAAGUAUCAGUUCAGUUAAGUCACUCCGUCGUGUCCGACUCUUUGAGACCCCAUGAAUCGCAGCACGCCAGGCCUCC